UUGAAGGGUACGGAUGACGUUAUGUUCCGAAUCUGGUCAGAUCCGGAAGGAAGCAGCCAUAAGGAGCCUCUGGCGGGCAUCCGUUCCCUUCAAGCA
Molecule: signal recognition particle RNA, 96 nt
Filed under: Collinsella sp. zg1085
Lineage: Bacteria; Bacillati; Actinomycetota; Coriobacteriia; Coriobacteriales; Coriobacteriaceae
Description: Bacterial small signal recognition particle RNA
Rfam family: Bacterial small signal recognition particle RNA
About the family: The signal recognition particle (SRP) is a universally conserved ribonucleoprotein involved in the co-translational targeting of proteins to membranes.
Source: Rfam by way of RNAcentral